AGAAUCAACGCUGGCGGCGUGCCUAACACAUGCAAGUCGAACGAGAAAGUGGAGCAAUCCAUUAGUAAAGUGGCGCACGGGUGAGUAACACGUGACUAACCUACCCUUGAGUGGGGGAUAACCUAGGGAACCUGGGCUAAUACCGCAUAAUACCUUCGGGUCAAAGGAGCAAUUCGCUUAAGGAGGGGUCGCGGCCGAUUAGUUAGUUGGCGGGGUAAUGGCCCACCAAGACUAUGAUCGGUAU
This 244-nucleotide ribosomal RNA is filed under the name uncultured bacterium. RNAcentral describes it as "partial small subunit ribosomal RNA". It matches the Rfam family "Bacterial small subunit ribosomal RNA", at positions 26 to 286 of the family's 1533-position model. The record is from RNAcentral.